GAUGAACGCUGGCGGCGUGCCUAAUACAUGCAAGUCGAGCGAACGGACGAGAAGCUUGCUUCUCUGAUGUUAGCGGCGGACGGGUGAGUAACACGUGGAUAACCUACCUAUAAGACUGGGAUAACUUCGGGAAACCGGAGCUAAUACCGGAUAAUAUUUUGAACCGCAUGGUUCAAAAGUGAAAGACGGUCUUGCUGUCACUUAUAGAUGGAUCCGCGCUGCAUUAACUAGUUGGUAAGGUAACGGCUUACCAAGGCAACGAUGCAUAGCCGACCUGAGAGGGUGAUCGGCCACACUGGAACUGAGACACGGUCCAGACUCCUACGGGAGGCAGCAGUAGGGAAUCUUCCGCAAUGGGCGAAAGCCUGACGGAGCAACGCCGAGUGAGUGAUGAAGGUCUUCGGAUCGUAAAACUCUGUUAUUAGGGAAGAACAUAUGUGUAAGUAACUGUGCACAUCUUGACGGUACCUAAUCAGAAAGCCACGGCUAACUACGUG
This 497-nucleotide ribosomal RNA is filed under the name uncultured bacterium. Its description in RNAcentral is "partial 16S ribosomal RNA". It matches the Rfam family "Bacterial small subunit ribosomal RNA", at positions 28 to 507 of the family's 1533-position model. The record is from RNAcentral.